CGAACGCUGGCGGCGUGCCUAACACAUGCAAGUCGAGCGCGAAAAGGGCAACCUGAGUAGAGCGGCGCACGGGUGCGUAACACGUGGGUAAUCUGCCUCAAAGUUUAGGAUAACCUUCCGAAAGGUUGGCUAAUACUACUGAAGCUCACAGGGUCUUCGGACCUAGGGAGAAAAGUUGGCCUCUGUUUACAUGCUAACGCUUUGAGAUGAGCCCGCGGCCCAUCAGCUAGUUGGUGAGGUAAUGGCUCACCAAGGCUACGACGGGUAGCUGGUCUGAGAGGACGAUCAGCCACACUGGAACUGAGACACGGUCCAGACUCCUACGGGAGGCAGCAGUGGGGAAUUUUGCACAAUGGGCGCAAGCCUGAUGCAGCAACGCCGCGUGUGUGAUGAAGGUCUUCGGAUCGUAAAGCACUUUCGACCGGGACGAACAAGCUACUCCUAACACGAGUGGCCCUGACGGUACCGGGAGAAGAAGCACCGGCUAACUCUGUGCCAGCAGCCGCGGUAAUACAGAGGGUGCAAGCGUUGUUCGGAAUUAUUGGGCGUAAAGCGCGGGUAGGCGGCUUGAAAAGUCGGGUGUGAAAGCCCUCAGCUCAACUGAGGAAGUGCGCCCGAAACUCUCGAGCUUGAGUGCCGGAGAGGAUGGCGGAAUGCCCCAAGUAGAGGUGAAAUUCGUAGAUAUGGGGCGGAACACCGGUGGCGAAGGCGGCCAUCUGGACGGUAACUGACGCUGAGCCGCGAAAGCGUGGGGAGCAAACAGGAUUAGAUACCCUGGUAGUCCACGCCGUAAACGAUGAGAACUAGGUGUCGCGGGUGUUGACCCCUGCGGUGCCGAAGCUAACGCAUUAAGUUCUCCGCCUGGGAAGUACGGCCCGCAGG
This 882-nucleotide ribosomal RNA is filed under the name uncultured bacterium. RNAcentral describes it as "bacterial SSU rRNA". It matches the Rfam family "Bacterial small subunit ribosomal RNA", at positions 30 to 893 of the family's 1533-position model. The record is from RNAcentral.